This 292-nucleotide ribosomal RNA is filed under the name uncultured bacterium. RNAcentral describes it as "partial 16S ribosomal RNA". It matches the Rfam family "Bacterial small subunit ribosomal RNA", at positions 505 to 796 of the family's 1533-position model. The record is from RNAcentral.
GUGUCAGCCGCCGCGGUAAAACGUAGGAGGCGAGCGUUAUCCGGAUUUACUGGGCGUAAAGCGCGUGCAGGCGGUUGGACAAGUCAUGUGUGAAAGCUCUCGGCUUAACCGGGAGAGGCCAUGUGAUACUGCCCAACUAGAGUCAAGUAGAGGCAAGCAGAAUUCCGGGUGUAGUGGUGAAAUGCGUAGAGAUCCGGAGGAAUACCAGUGGCGAAGGCGGCUUGCUGGACUUGAACUGACGCUCAGACGCGACAGCAUGGGGAGCGAACGGGAUUAGAAACCCUCGUAGUCC